RNAcentral lists this ribosomal RNA (253 nucleotides) under uncultured bacterium. RNAcentral's name for it is "partial 16S ribosomal RNA". It matches the Rfam family "Bacterial small subunit ribosomal RNA", at positions 524 to 776 of the family's 1533-position model. The record is from RNAcentral.
UACAGAGGUGGCAAGCGUUGUUCGGAAUUACUGGGCGUAAAGGGCUCGUAGGCGGCCAACUAAGUCGGAUGUGAAAUCCCCAGGCUUAACCUGGGAACUGCAUCCGAUACUGGAUGGCUUGAAUUCGGGAGAGGGAUGCAGAAUUCCAGGUGUAGCGGUGAAAUGCGUAGAUAUCUGGAGGAAUACCGGUGGCGAAGGCGGCAUCCUGGACCGAGAUUGACGCUGAUGAGCGAAAGCUAGGGGAGCAAACGGG